This is a long non-coding RNA of Apis florea (little honeybee), 596 nucleotides long. The record is from RefSeq and is a predicted model, not a curated record. Lineage: Eukaryota; Metazoa; Arthropoda; Insecta; Hymenoptera; Apidae.
AGAUUCUUAGAUGAAGGAGAGAGAUAAACAGUUUUAAAAUAAUCGUGGAUAUGAAGAGGCGUGAGAAUGGCUCUCGGGAAAAUAUCGCGACGCUGCCUUGGAAAUUCAACGUGGAGUUCGACGAUAAUAACGUUCUGACUUGUAAAUUGUACAGCCAGCUUUCGUUCCGUUGUGUACGUGUUAGGUUACACUUAUCUUCGUAAAACUGAGUAUUCCAUCGGAAGAGGAUAAUGAGUUCACUGCUCCCCCACCUUCACCCGUUGAGUGUUUCAAAUACGCUCCUCUGAUUAAAUUUCGCAAAUAUAGUCACUUUAUACACCCCCAAGACAUCGACAAUCUAUUCUCAUCGUGCGACAGCUCUAUCGUAGAGAAAGCGAAAUUCACGUCCACGGAAUCGUCCACGGAAACCGUUGUUAAAAAUGCCAUCGUUCCCAGAAAGGUGGUUUCGUUCGGCGGGCAAUUGUCGCCGCCAUUAGAACACGCGAGGCGUCGCAACAAGGAGAAAUCGACGUGUUUAUCGACCGAAGAUUCCUGCGUUGCCAAGUCUUAUUCCGAGUCCUAUUCCGUCUUCCUCGAAAACGGCACCAACGAUGGUA